GUCGAUGUUAAUGGUAGAAUCCUCGAUAGAUCCACGAUGGGAGAGGACUACUUUUGGGCCAUUAGAGGGGGUGCUGGAGGUAGCUUUGGGAUUAUUCUUUGGUGGAAGUUGCAAUUGGUUCCUGUUCCAGAAACUGUGACAGUUUUCACUGUUCCAAAGACAUUAGAGCAAGGUGCCACUCAAAUCCUGUACAAAUGGCAACAAGUUGCUGACAAGCUGGAUGAAGAUUUGUUCAUUAGAGUCAUAAUACAAGUAACAAAUGAUAAAGCUACGAAAGAAAGAACCAUUACCACAGCUUACAAUGCUCUCUUUCUUGGAGAUUCCGACAGACUCCUACAAAUUAUGAGAAAAAGCUUCCCUGAAUUGGGUUUGACACCAAAAGAUUGUAUUGAAACCAACUGGAUUAAAUCAGUUCUUUACAUAGCUGGAGAACCACCAAAAACACCACCUGAAGUUCUUCUACAAGGAAAGCCACAAUUCAAGAACUACUUCAAAGCUAAAUCAGACUUUGUUCAAGUCCCAAUCCCAGAAACUGGAUUGGAAGGUCUAUGGAAAAUAUUUCUCCAAGAAGAAAGCCCAUUGAUGAUCUGGAAUCCU
RNAcentral lists this long non-coding RNA (597 nucleotides) under Cucumis sativus (cucumber). RNAcentral's name for it is "long non-coding RNA (CSAT_LNC000379)". The record is from RNAcentral. Lineage: Eukaryota; Viridiplantae; Streptophyta; Magnoliopsida; Cucurbitales; Cucurbitaceae.